This 254-nucleotide ribosomal RNA is filed under the name uncultured bacterium. Its description in RNAcentral is "partial 16S ribosomal RNA". It matches the Rfam family "Bacterial small subunit ribosomal RNA", at positions 524 to 776 of the family's 1533-position model. The record is from RNAcentral.
UACGAGGGGAGCAAGCGUUGUUCGGAUUUACUGGGCGUAAAGGGCGCGUAGGCGGUCGUGACAAGUCACUUGUGAAAUCUCCGGGCUUAACUCGGAACGGUCAAGUGAUACUGUCGGACUAGAGUACAGAAGGGGCAACUGGAAUUCUCGGUGUAGCGGUGAAAUGCGUAGAUAUCGAGAGGAACACCUGCGGCGAAGGCGGGUUGCUAGGCUGAUACUGACGCUGAUGCGCGAAAGCCAGGGGAGCGAACGGG